RNAcentral lists this ribosomal RNA (464 nucleotides) under uncultured bacterium. RNAcentral describes it as "partial 16S ribosomal RNA". It matches the Rfam family "Bacterial small subunit ribosomal RNA", at positions 331 to 792 of the family's 1533-position model. The record is from RNAcentral.
CCAGACUCCUACGGGAGGCAGCAGUGAGGAAUAUUGGUCAAUGGGCGAGAGCCUGAACCAGCCAAGUCGCGUGAAGGAUGACGGCCCUACGGGUUGUAAACUUCUUUUGUCAGGGAGCAAUUGGGUCCACGCGUGGGCUUAGCGAGAGUACCUGAAGAAAAAGCAUCGGCUAACUCCGUGCCAGCAGCCGCGGUAAUACGGAGGAUGCGAGCGUUAUCCGGAUUUAUUGGGUUUAAAGGGUGCGUAGGCGGAAUAUCAAGUCAGCGGUAAAAAUUCGGGGCUCAACCCCGUCCGGCCGUUGAAACUGGGGGCCUUGAGUGGGCGAGAAGAAGGCGGAAUGCGUGGUGUAGCGGUGAAAUGCAUAGAUAUCACGCAGAACCCCGAUUGCGAAGGCAGCCUUCCGGCGCCCUACUGACGCUGAGGCACGAAAGUGCGGGGAUCGAACAGGAUUAGAUACCCCAGUA